RNAcentral lists this ribosomal RNA (440 nucleotides) under Daphnia galeata. RNAcentral describes it as "partial 12S ribosomal RNA". The record is from RNAcentral. Lineage: Eukaryota; Metazoa; Arthropoda; Branchiopoda; Diplostraca; Daphniidae.
UUCAAUUUUUGAAGUUUCUCUAGCUUUUUUGUUGGGUGAAAUCAGUAUAAGAAGCUCUUUCUUCUUUAAAAAUUAGUAGGAACUAAAAAACUUUGAUUUAAAACCAGGAUUAGAUACCCUGUUAUUCUCAGUUAUUCUUAAACAGGGUAGUAAAAGUUGUUCUUCAAACCCAAAGAUUUUGGCGGCACUUUAUCCAAAUAGAGGAGCUUGUCCCUUAAUCGAUAGUCCUCGUUUUAUCUUUCCUUCAUUUGUAAAGCUUGUAUACCGCCGUUGUCAGAUUACUUUUAGAGAAUGUUUUCAAGUUAAAAGACUUUGUAACUUCAGGUCAAGGUGCAGUUUAUAUGGGGGUGGAGGUGAGCUACAGUUUUCUUUAGAAAAUACGGAUUCUAAGCUUUGAAGCUAGCUGAAGGUGGAUUUACUAGUAAAGUAAUUUAAGUAAA